This 425-nucleotide ribosomal RNA is filed under the name uncultured bacterium. RNAcentral's name for it is "partial 16S ribosomal RNA". It matches the Rfam family "Bacterial small subunit ribosomal RNA", at positions 354 to 796 of the family's 1533-position model. The record is from RNAcentral.
GUGGGGAAUAUUGGGCAAUGGGCGAAAGCCUGACCCAGCAACGCCGCGUGAAGGAAGAAGGUCUUCGGAUCGUAAACUUCUAUCCUUGGUGAAGAUAAUGACGGUAGCCGAGAAGGAAGCCCCGGCUAACUACGUGCCAGCAGCCGCGGUAAUACGUAGGGGGCAAACGUUGUCCGGAAUGAUUGGGCGUAAAGGGCGCGUAGGCGGCCUGGUAAGUCUGGAGUGAAAGUCCUGCUUUUAAGGUGGGAAUUGCUUUGGAUACUGUCGGGCUUGAGUGCAGGAGAGGUAAGUGGAAUUCCCGGUGUAGCGGUGAAAUGCGUAGAGAUCGGGAGGAACACCAGUGGCGAAGGCGACUUACUGGACUGUAACUGACGCUGAGGCGCGAAAGCGUGGGGAGCAAACAGGAUUAGAAACCCGAGUAGUCC